This 208-nucleotide unclassified non-coding RNA is filed under the name Hevea brasiliensis (rubber tree). Lineage: Eukaryota; Viridiplantae; Streptophyta; Magnoliopsida; Malpighiales; Euphorbiaceae. The record is from RNAcentral.
GUUGGCGUUUGGACUGUGGAAAGAAAAUCAUUGAGACUGAGCAGUAACUCGGCGAACUCACCGGGUUAUCGCCGAGCUGAAUCGGUUCGAGUUGCGAAUGAAAUUGUAAUUUGGAAUCGAUACCAACCCUAGAAAUCCAUUUGUGUGGAAGCUUUUCAUAGGGCUUCGUGAAGAUUUGGGGAAACGGAAAAUUAAAAAAAGAAAAUCG